RNAcentral lists this ribosomal RNA (464 nucleotides) under Vreelandella stevensii. RNAcentral describes it as "partial 16S ribosomal RNA". It matches the Rfam family "Bacterial small subunit ribosomal RNA", at positions 338 to 795 of the family's 1533-position model. Lineage: Bacteria; Pseudomonadati; Pseudomonadota; Gammaproteobacteria; Oceanospirillales; Halomonadaceae. The record is from RNAcentral.
CCUACGGGUGGCAGCAGUGGGGAAUAUUGGACAAUGGGGGGAACCCUGAUCCAGCCAUGCCGCGUGUGUGAAGAAGGCCCUCGGGUUGUAAAGCACUUUCAGUGAGGAAGAACGCCUGGUGGUUAAUACCCAUCAGGAAAGACAUCACUCACAGAAGAAGCACCGGCUAACUCCGUGCCAGCAGCCGCGGUAAUACGGAGGGUGCGAGCGUUAAUCGGAAUUACUGGGCGUAAAGCGCGCGUAGGUGGCUUGAUAAGCCGGUUGUGAAAGCCCCGGGCUCAACCUGGGAACGGCAUCCGGAACUGUCAAGCUAGAGUGCAGGAGAGGAAGGUAGAAUUCCCGGUGUAGCGGUGAAAUGCGUAGAGAUCGGGAGGAAUACCAGUGGCGAAGGCGGCCUUCUGGACUGACACUGACACUGAGGUGCGAAAGCGUGGGUAGCAAACAGGAUUAGAACCCCUGUAGUC